RNAcentral lists this ribosomal RNA (466 nucleotides) under uncultured bacterium. RNAcentral's name for it is "partial 16S ribosomal RNA". It matches the Rfam family "Bacterial small subunit ribosomal RNA", at positions 28 to 507 of the family's 1533-position model. The record is from RNAcentral.
GAUGAACGCUGGCGGCGUGCUUAACACAUGCAAGUCGAACGGUGAAGCCCAGCUUGCUGGGUGGAUUAGUGGCGAACGGGUGAGUAACACGUGAGUAACCUGCCCUUAACUCUGGGAUAAGCCUGGGAAACUGGGUCUAAUACCGGAUAGGAGCGUCCACCGCAGGGGGGGUGUUGGAGAGAUUUAGCGGUUUUGGAUGGUCUCGCGGCCUAUCAUCGUGUUGGGGAGGUAGUGGUACCCAAACGCGGAGACGUAGAUGCGGCGUGAGAGGGUGACCGCCCACACUGGGACUGAGACAGGGCCCAGUCUCCUACGGGGGGGAGCAGUGGGGAAUAUUACACAGUGGGCGCGAGCCUGAUGCAGAGGCGCCGCGUGGGAGAUGACGGCCUUCGGGUUGUAAACCUCUUUCAGUAGAGAAGAAGCUGAAGUGACGGUACCUGCAGAAGAAGCACCGGCUAACUACGUG